GAGUUUGAUCGUGGCUCAGGACGAACGCUGGCGGCGUGCUUAACACAUGCAAGUCGAACGGAAAGGCCCUGCUUUUGUGGGGUGCUCGAGUGGCGAACGGGUGAGUAACACGUGAGUAACCUGCCCUUGACUUUGGGAUAACUUCAGGAAACUGGGGCUAAUACCGGAUAGGAGCUCCUGCUGCAUGGUGGGGGUUGGAAAGUUUCGGCGGUUGGGGAUGGACUCGCGGCUUAUCAGCUUGUUGGUGGGGUAGUGGCUUACCAAGGCUUUGACGGGUAGCCGGCCUGAGAGGGUGACCGGCCACAUUGGGACUGAGAUACGGCCCAGACUCCUACGGGAGGCAGCAGUGGGGAAUAUUGCACAAUGGGCGGAAGCCUGAUGCAGCAACGCCGCGUGCGGGAUGACGGCCUCGG
RNAcentral lists this ribosomal RNA (413 nucleotides) under uncultured microorganism. RNAcentral's name for it is "bacterial SSU rRNA". It matches the Rfam family "Bacterial small subunit ribosomal RNA", at positions 9 to 420 of the family's 1533-position model. The record is from RNAcentral.